UACAGAGGUGGCAAGCGUUGUUCGGAAUUACUGGGCGUAAAGGGCGCGUAGGCGGUCUUGCAAGUCCUGUGUGAAAUCCCUCGGCUCAACUGAGGAACUGCACAGGAAACUGCUUGGCUUGAGUUCGGGAGAGGGAAGCGGAAUUCCGGGUGUAGCGGUGAAAUGCGUAGAUAUCGAGAGGAACACCUGCGGCGAAGGCGGGUUGCUGGGCUGACACUGACGCUGAGGCGCGAAAGCCAGGGGAGCGAACGGG
Molecule: ribosomal RNA, 253 nt
Filed under: uncultured bacterium
Lineage: Bacteria
Description: partial 16S ribosomal RNA
Rfam family: Bacterial small subunit ribosomal RNA
Source: RNAcentral